Molecule: long non-coding RNA, 1148 nt
Organism: Brassica napus (rape)
Lineage: Eukaryota; Viridiplantae; Streptophyta; Magnoliopsida; Brassicales; Brassicaceae
Exons: 2
Source: RefSeq, a predicted model, not a curated record
AGAAUUUUAAAGAUCCAUGAGUUUGAGACACGAUCCUUUUGGUGGUAUUAGAGAGAGAGAGAAGCAGUGUUCGUUUCAAGCUGGAAUCUUUCUAGAAUGAAACACGAAAGGUCAAACGAGUAUUGUCGGAGAUUUUUUAAAGUUGGGCCUUGGGCCUGUAAUUGAAAAAAUCAUAAAUAAAAUCAAAUCAAGUUUUUGAUUCACUAGAAACUGCAAAUAUAAGGCCUUAUAUUGUCAGGAUCUAUGUAUUUAGGUUUUUUGUUGACAUAAAAAAAUGUUAUUAUAGUUUAAACAAUGCUAUUACUAUUGUUUAAACUUUCCAAACACAAAUAUACAAAUCAAUUUCCAUGUAAAAAUAUAAACUACAACCUUUUCUGUGACAAAAAAACAAUAAAAACAAAAUACCCCAAAUGUUUUUAUUAAAAAAUUAUAUGGACAGAUUAUUAUAGAAAAUUAGUUGGUUUUGAAGUUUUCUUUGUUAUAUCCUUUUUUCUGGAGUCUAAAUAUAAACUAACAAUUUCCUAAUUUUUCUCAUUCAAGUUUUAAGCUACAUUGAUUUAAAUAUUUACUUAUUUUCUUCAUCUCCUAUAAAUUAAUCUACUCUUUUCUCAGUUAUUUGUAAAACCAUUUAAUACUCUAACAUUGAAAAUCUCUUCAAUUCAUUCGUCUUCAAUCAUCAAUAUCUACCAGUAUUCAAAGGUCAGAUUUUCAAAUUGUUAGCGAGAAAGUGAAAUUUUUUUCUUCAAUUAUCUUCCAAGAUGGAGAGAAAAAAAUAUGAAAAAGAUGACAUAGAAGCUACACAUGAAGCUGAUGAUUUAGGUGAUGUUUCAACAAAGGCAAAUCAAACUUCGCAAUAUCAAGAUUGGAUGGAAGUUAAUAGUAAGAACAAAGAGAAAACAAUGAUUAACCAUGAAAAUAACUCCAACACAAGCGAAUUGUUUUAUCUGAGUUUUCUUUUAAACAAGAACAAAGUAUCAACCAGCUACACAGAUAUACGAACUGUUAAUGGAGUUUUGUAUCCUACCUUUGAAGAUGCUUAUAAUGCUCUUUUUAUUUGAACUACAAUUUUAUCUUUAGAGAUUUUUCAAUUUCUCAGUUAUUUAGCUCCUUAUGUAGCUCCUAUAUUCGAUUAUAUUCAUGCUUACGUA